This 445-nucleotide ribosomal RNA is filed under the name bacterium enrichment culture clone ALO1_GLFRUDD03GFVU4. Its description in RNAcentral is "bacterial SSU rRNA". It matches the Rfam family "Bacterial small subunit ribosomal RNA", at positions 9 to 455 of the family's 1533-position model. The record is from RNAcentral.
GAGUUUGAUCCUGGCUCAGAUUGAACGCUGGCGGCAGGCCUAACACAUGCAAGUCGAGCGGAUGACGGGAGCUUGCUCCUUGAUUCAGCGGCGGACGGGUGAGUAAUGCCUAGGAAUCUGCCUGGUAGUGGGGGACAACGUUUCGAAAGGAACGCUAAUACCGCAUACGUCCUACGGGAGAAAGCAGGGGACCUUCGGGCCUUGCGCUAUCAGAUGAGCCUAGGUCGGAUUAGCUAGUUGGUGGGGUAAUGGCUCACCAAGGCGACGAUCCGUAACUGGUCUGAGAGGAUGAUCAGUCACACUGGAACUGAGACACGGUCCAGACUCCUACGGGAGGCAGCAGUGGGGAAUAUUGGACAAUGGGCGAAAGCCUGAUCCAGCCAUGCCGCGUGUAGUGAAGAAGGUCUUCGGAUUGUAAAGCACUUUAAGUUAGGGUAGGAAGGGC